AUGUACCACGCGUCCACUGCGGUUCCGGGCGCGCGGUCCGCGCCCACCUGACAGCUGCUCGCUCCGUGUUGUUAGCC
RNAcentral lists this small RNA (77 nucleotides) under Xanthomonas oryzae. RNAcentral describes it as "sX9". It matches the Rfam family "Xanthomonas sRNA sX9". The record is from RNAcentral. RNAcentral also lists the same sequence under 1 other name. Lineage: Bacteria; Pseudomonadati; Pseudomonadota; Gammaproteobacteria; Lysobacterales; Lysobacteraceae.